This 254-nucleotide ribosomal RNA is filed under the name uncultured bacterium. RNAcentral describes it as "partial 16S ribosomal RNA". It matches the Rfam family "Bacterial small subunit ribosomal RNA", at positions 524 to 776 of the family's 1533-position model. The record is from RNAcentral.
UACGGGGGGAGCAAGCGUUGUUCGGAUUUACUGGGCGUAAAGGGCGCGUAGGCGGCCACCGCAAGUCGACUGUGAAAUCUCCGGGCUUAACCCGGAAAGGUCAGCCGAUACUGCGGGGCUAGAGUGCAGAAGGGGCAACUGGAAUUCUCGGUGUAGCGGUGAAAUGCGUAGAUAUCGAGAGGAACACCUGCGGCGAAGGCGGGUUGCUGGGCUGGCACUGACGCUGAGGCGCGAAAGCUAGGGGAGCGAACGGG